RNAcentral lists this ribosomal RNA (468 nucleotides) under uncultured bacterium. RNAcentral's name for it is "partial 16S ribosomal RNA". It matches the Rfam family "Bacterial small subunit ribosomal RNA", at positions 28 to 507 of the family's 1533-position model. The record is from RNAcentral.
GACGAACGCUGGCGGCGUGCUUAACACAUGCAAGUCGAACGGAAAGGCCCUGCUUUUGUGGGGUGCUCGAGUGGCGAACGGGUGAGUAACACGUGAGUAACCUGCCCUUGACUUAGGGAUAACUUCAGGAAACUGGGGCUAAUACCGGAUAGGAGCUCCUGCUGCACGGUGGGUGUUUGAAAGUUUCGGCGGCUGGGGAUGGACUCGCGGCUUCUCAGCUUGUUGGUGGGGUAGUGGCUUACCAAGGCUUUGAAGCGUAGCUGGCCUGAGAGGGUCACCGGCUUCACUGGUACUGAGCUACGCCCCACACUCCUACGGGAGGCAGCAGUGGGGAAUAUUGCCCACUGGGCCGAGGCAUGCCGCAGCAAGGCAGCGUGUGGAAUGUCGGCCGUCGGGUUGUAACCCGCUUUGGACUGUGACGAAGCCUGAGUGACGGUACUGGGUAAAGAAGCACCGGCUAACUCCGUG